CAGUAGCCGCGGUAAUACGAAGGGUGCAAGCGUUACUCGGAAUUACUGGGCGUAAAGCGUGCGUAGGUGGUGGUUUAAGUCCGUUGUGAAAGCCCUGGGCUCAACCUGGGAAUUGCAGUGGAUACUGGGUCACUAGAGUGUGGUAGAGGAUAGUGGAAUUUCCGGUGUAGCAGUGAAAUGCGUAGAGAUCGGAAGGAACAUCAGUGGCGAAGGCGGCCAUCUGGGACAACACUGACGCUCAUGCACGAAAGCGUGGGGAGCAAACAGGAUUAGAUACCCGGGUAGUCCCUGUCUCUUAUAA
Molecule: ribosomal RNA, 301 nt
Filed under: uncultured bacterium
Lineage: Bacteria
Description: partial 16S ribosomal RNA
Rfam family: Bacterial small subunit ribosomal RNA
Source: RNAcentral